Molecule: long non-coding RNA, 1288 nt
Filed under: Rattus norvegicus (Norway rat)
Lineage: Eukaryota; Metazoa; Chordata; Mammalia; Rodentia; Muridae
Description: long non-coding RNA NONRATT004418
Source: RNAcentral
GUAAGUCAGUACCAGUCGCUUCUGGGUCUGUCCCAGGAGUGAGGACAGCUGUGAACACAGGGUCAGCUGAUCAAGUCUGUCUUGCUCAUGGUAGUUUGACUUGCCAGCAGUCAUGCUGAGACUAGCUUGAGCCUGCACCUGUUAGAUAGUGGUAGAGAUAGGCCCAAGCUCAGUGGAGGCCAGGCCAGGCUAAGAGUGGGACUCUUUGGGACCUGUUCCUCUAAGCUGUCUUGGUUAGGUAUGGCUGAAUGGAAGAUGGAGGCUAGAGGGCUCUUCCGAAGCUCCAGGUAGACUGAAAAGUUCCUAGGUUCAGGUGAGAGACAGAUCUGGGGAGUCAGAACACAUAGGUCUUGAGAUAGGAGGCAAAGCUGCUAGGACCCUGAGGUGGAGGGGGCUUUUCUAACCCCUCAACAGCUGGUUAAUCAUUACUGAGGUCAGGGACUUGCUUCUCAAGGGGCAGGCUCUACUAGCUGCCCAAGAUCAAGGCUCCCCUGCCCUAAUCUUCUAGUGCUGAGGGUAGCUCUUGGGGACUGAACUAUGGAAGCUUGGGUUGGGUAGUGCGGAUGAUGUUUAGACUCUUUCUGGGUGGUAUUAGGGAUGUGAGCCCUAUGUGUUUAAAGGAGAGUUUCCAAUAGGACUGUGUUGGUGGAGUGUGGAGGCCGGAAGCCACACUAUGGCACCGGGGCAGAAAGGAAGAACUGAGACUGGCCCUCCCCUGCUUCCCAGUCUGUCCCACAUCCUAAGAUCACACCCCGGGGGACUCCUCUGUGCUCACCUGUUCCUUCCUGCAGCUUCCUCGACAGACAGGUUCUUGGACCCAGGUACCGACAUUCCAAGGGACACCAGCCAACCUGGGUGAGGGCCGCACUCUGUAUGUCUUCCCUUCCCUGGGGAAAGAGAUACCCAGAAGCACCCCCUUACAACCUGAGCACAUGAGCGAACCCCAUGAAAGUGGAAUUUUCUAACAAAAUAAACUUGCUCGUUUUGGUCUGUUUUCUGUAACUUUUGCUAAAUACUUUAUACAUUUUUAAUGUUGGAAAAAAAAAAAAAAGCAGUGUCUCCUGCCAGAACUCCUCACCCGGGAUGAAUGUGUUUACUUCUCGCUGUAUAUCUUUCCAUGCUGCGGCUGCCUGGACCAGUAAAUAAAAUGGAUGUAAUAUAAGUUGUAAGUAACAUUGUCAAAACUCAGAUCCCCAAUGGAGGCUGCCCGCCUCCCCCACCCCAUGAUAGCAUCUCUGUGUAUUAAUUCUGAAGAAUUAAAUGUUUAAAUUAGAGUUCGGAUGUUGAC